AGCCAUUAGAUGAUACUAUAUGGUUUUACCUGCCCAAUGUUACGAUGAAUGGCCGCGGUACCCUGACCGUGCUAAGGUAGCGUAAUCAGUUGACCUUUAAAUGAGGUCAGGAAUGAAUGGAAUAACCGGGUUUAGCUGUCUCCAAACCACUAUAUUGAAUUUACUAUCUAAGUGAAAAAGCUUAGGAUUUAAAAAAGGAGGAGAAGACCCUUAGAAUUUUUUUAAAAAGGAACAUAUUUUCCUUACAGUUUUAUUGGGGCGAUAAAGAAAUAAUUAAAACUUUCUUUUUUAACAAGCCGAUUGUAUUAAGUAAGAAUAAAUUACCUGAGGGAUAACAGCAUAAUUCUAUAAGUGAGUUUGUGACCUCGAUGUUGGACUAGGAAACCAGUAGGCUAGCCGUUUACUGUGUUAGGUUCUGUUCGAACUUUUAUUCCU
RNAcentral lists this ribosomal RNA (435 nucleotides) under Spurilla neapolitana. RNAcentral describes it as "partial 16S ribosomal RNA". It matches the Rfam family "Bacterial large subunit ribosomal RNA", at positions 1829 to 2597 of the family's 2925-position model. Lineage: Eukaryota; Metazoa; Mollusca; Gastropoda; Nudibranchia; Aeolidiidae. The record is from RNAcentral.